AGCUCCAAUAGCGUAUACUAAAGUUGUUGCAGUUAAAAAGCUCGUAGUUGGAUCUUGGAAUCUAAGAGUGACUGGUACAGGGCGGAUGCCUUGUUACUGUCAUUCUUGAUUCUUUUUUUGAUGGUAAUCUAUCAAGCCAUUCAUUUGGUUUGUUUUAUUAGGUUCCAUCUCAUUUACUUUGAAUAAAUUAGAGUGUUUAAAGCAGGCGAUUUCUUGCCUUGUAUACAUUAGCAUGGGAUAAUAGAAUAGGACUUUGGUUCUGUUUUUCAUGAGUUUCCCCCUCGCGGGGUCUCUUCAUUGGUUUUUAGAACUAAAGUAAUGAUUAAUAGGGAUAGUUGGGGGCAUUAGUAUUUAAUUGUCAGAGGUGAAAUUCUUGGAUUUAUGAAAGACUAACUUCUGCGAAAGCAUUUGCCAAGGAUGUUUUCA
This 426-nucleotide ribosomal RNA is filed under the name uncultured eukaryote. Its description in RNAcentral is "SSU rRNA". It matches the Rfam family "Eukaryotic small subunit ribosomal RNA", at positions 587 to 972 of the family's 1831-position model. The record is from RNAcentral.